This 147-nucleotide ribosomal RNA is filed under the name uncultured eukaryote. RNAcentral's name for it is "partial 18S ribosomal RNA". It matches the Rfam family "Eukaryotic small subunit ribosomal RNA", at positions 1299 to 1458 of the family's 1831-position model. The record is from RNAcentral.
UGGUGGAGUGAUUUGUCUGGUUAAUUCCGUUAACGAACGAGACCUCGACCUGCUAAAUAGAGGCAUCAAUUCAGUUUCUACUGAUUGACUGUCAUCUUCUUAGAGGGACUAUCGGUGCGUAGCCGAUGGAAGUUCGAGGCAAUAACA